This 324-nucleotide ribosomal RNA is filed under the name uncultured eukaryote. RNAcentral describes it as "partial 18S ribosomal RNA". It matches the Rfam family "Eukaryotic small subunit ribosomal RNA", at positions 1470 to 1796 of the family's 1831-position model. The record is from RNAcentral.
CCCUUAGAUGUUCUGAACCGCACGCGUGUUACACUGAUGCAUUCAACGAGCUUUACCUUGGCCGAGAGGCCUGGGAAAUCUUUUUAGCAUGCAUCGUGAUAGGGAUUGAUUAUUGCAAUUAUUAAUCAUGAACGAGGAAUUCCUAGUAAACGCAUUUCAUCAAAAUGCAUUGAUUACGUCCCUGCCCUUUGUACACACCGCCCGUCGCACCUACCGAUUGAGUGGUCCGGUGAAGUCUCGAGAUUGUGGCAAUCUCCUUUAUUGGAGUUUGACUGCGAGAACUUGCCUAAACCUCAUCACUUAGAGGAAGGUGAAGUCGUAACA